AUGAAACAUAUCCCAAACUUUUUCUUAUAUAUGAAGGUCACGAUCUAAACCAAAAUUCGCCUUUGAGGUAGACGGCAAUCAAAAUAAUUAAUUAUUUCACAUUCGAGUCUGUAUUGGAGAACGUCCUCUCCCCAAAAAAGAGAAGACGACUACCGCAAGGUUUUAGCCAAUCAGAGUGCGUUGCCUAAAAUAGCACUCGUACACUAGGAGAAACAAAUAUGGCGCGGUGGAGUUCGAAGUAAGUCGUUUACAGAUGCACGUUAGUUAAAACUCUCUCCCUUCAUUGUUCGUGAACAGAUCGAGAGUAGGCCUAUUGUUGAUGAGGCAAGCAGUCAGAGCAGUCCAGAACUAGAGGGUAAAGAGCUCCCUGAGCAUACUAUCUUCUGAUGUCAGCCUCAUUAGAAAAAAAGCCCUGUAUAAAGGUUUAGUAGAGUUGGCAGUGAUACAUAGCACUUCUAGGUCCAGUAGUACAAGGCUUGGAAGAGGUGUGAGAUCAGGAGGAUUGACUCAAGAACAUGAAAGGAGAAUUCAGUAACUCACAGAAGAGAGCAUACAUGAUGGUGUUGCCAAGAAAAUGAUGGUGUUGCCAAGGAAAGUGCUGAAUACAUUGUGACAAGUGUGAUGGAAAUCCUGGCCUUGCACUGGAUAUAAAGAUGCUUUUGCUAGAGAAUUUACCAAGCAAUGACUCAGCAUCAGUGGAGAUGGGACUGGCCCAUCUCCCACUCACUGUAAUGUCCCCUACAUUUUGACUGCCGUUGAAUUUGCUGGAUUACUUCACUUUGAAGAGAUUCUUUUCAUUCUACUGUAAUUUGUGCAACCAUUCAGUGAACAUAAAAAAUAAAGGCAUAGAAAAACAA
Lingula anatina is the source of this 857-nucleotide long non-coding RNA. NCBI's taxonomy places the organism in Eukaryota, Metazoa, Brachiopoda, Lingulata, Lingulida, Lingulidae. The record is from RefSeq and is a predicted model, not a curated record.